Cyanistes caeruleus (blue tit) is the source of this 1143-nucleotide non-coding RNA. NCBI's taxonomy places the organism in Eukaryota, Metazoa, Chordata, Aves, Passeriformes, Paridae. The record is from RefSeq and is a predicted model, not a curated record.
GUCCAAGAAAGACUGUCCAAGAAAGACUGUCAAGUCUUUUGAUAAUAUAUUAAUAAACAUAAGAAACAGAAACUUAAUGAGCUUUUAAAGUAUUCUUACUAACACAAAACUAAAAUAAAUGAAACUCUCUGUGAAAGAGUAUCCCAAAAAAAUUCAAGAUCCAGCAUCACUGCCCCAAAUACCAGGGACAAGGGGAAGAACAGCCUCACCUCAAAGCUCAGAGCUGCCAGAGAUUUAACUGAGAUGGGAGAAAAGGAUUCUGCAUUGGUGCCUAACUCUGAACUUCACAGAAAGCCCCAGCGAGUUCUCACAGCUCAGGGAGACGAAAUUGCAGCUCCAGGCCCAAAGGGUACAACCAGCAGGGAAUUGAUGGAGCAACCUGUGAGGGCUGCCCAUGACAUCAGCUCAGCUUUUCUGGCUGUUUGUGAUCAGCUUUCCUUCCCUCGGACACCUCAGCACAGGAAUUUCAGGCACAGCUUCAGAAAUGAGGCGACACAAAAGUUUGCAGCCUCCAGGAAUCCCAAAUUUUCCCUUUGAGCCUCCCUCAAAAUUUUGCCUUUGAGCUGCUUUUCCUCCCUCUCAAAGCCAGGAGAAAGGCCUGGGCUCCUUUCCAGAGCUGCCAAUAAUUAUCAUUAAUUAAUAAUUAAUUUCCUGGGUGGGGAGGAGGAGGGGGAAAUACCUCACAGAAUUCCAAAUAUCAAAAACUUCUUUUUACCUCUCGUUUCUCCUCUGCCUUCAUCGGUUCCCGUGACUCUUCCUCUUUUCCAGGGCCCUUCCCAGCUCCAGGAGGCUGCCCCAGGAUUGGGAUGAGUUUCAGCCAGGACAGCACCAGGAGUUCUGUGGGAUCCAAUCCUGUUUUUCCUGAUUUCCUGGGAAUGUUCACUCGGUUCCUCUCACGCAGGUGUCGGAGGGAAGAUGCUGCUGGAUGGCUCAGGGGAUCAGAGUGUGGUUUUGUUAGAACCUUGGCAGUGAUGAGGCAGCGCCGUGGAGCAUCUCUGUGGGUCGUGAAAAUGAUGGAAUUCAUUCCUGAGCUGAUCAACAACAACUGGGAAUCUCUGGAUCCGACUGCCAACAGUAAAAAAAGAGCUUUAAACAGGGGAUAGAAAAACCUGAUAGCAAAAAUACAAAGGAGUUUGUAAUGUU